AAAAUCAACGUGAAGGGAAACGAGUUUGCCCCCUGAUGUUAGCGGCGGAGGGGUGAGAUAACACGUGGGAUAACCUGCCUUGCUAAGAGUGGGAUAACUUCCGGGAAACCGGGGCUUAAUACCGGAUGGUUGUUUGACCCGCAGGGUUAANACAUAAAGGGGGCUUGGCCUACCACUUUAAAGAUGGACCCGCGGCGCUAUUAGCUUGUUGGAGAGGUAACCCCCCACCAAGGCCACGAUGCGUACCCGACCUUGAGAGGGUUUUUGGCCACACUGGGACAUGAACACGCCCCAACCCCUACGGGAGGCAGAAAUAGGGACCCUCCCCGCAAUGGACAAAAGUUUGACGGAGCACCCCGGGAGAGAGAUAAAGGUUUUCGAACCGAAAAGCUCUGGUGAGAGAGAAGAAACAAGUCCCUUUCAAACUCGGGCGGCCCCUCUUCCGGCACCCAAACCAAGAAAGCCACUGCUUAACAAACGCCCCAGGCAGCACGUGAAAAAUCCGAAAGGGGGGCAAAGCCGGUCUCCCAGGAAUUUAUGGGGCCGAAAAAAGGGUCCCCCAGCGCU
RNAcentral lists this ribosomal RNA (567 nucleotides) under uncultured bacterium. RNAcentral's name for it is "bacterial SSU rRNA". The stretch from base 1 to 464 matches the Rfam family "Bacterial small subunit ribosomal RNA", at positions 58 to 539 of the family's 1533-position model. The record is from RNAcentral.